UAGGGAAUCUUCGGCAAUGGACGAAAGUCUGACCGAGCAACGCCGCGUGAGUGAAGAAGGUUUUCGGAUCGUAAAACUCUGUUGUUAGAGAAGAACAAGGACGUUAGUAACUGAACGUCCACUGACGGUAUCUAACCAGAAAGCCACGGCUAACUACGUGCCAGCAGCCGCGGUAAUACGUAGGUGGCAAGCGUUGUCCGGAUUUAUUGGGCGUAAAGCGAGCGCAGGCGGUUUCUUAAGUCUGAUGUGAAAGCCCCCGGCUCAACCGGGGAGGGUCAUUGGAAACUGGGAGACUUGAGUGCAGAAGAGGAGAGUGGAAUUCCAUGUGUAGCGGUGAAAUGCGUAGAUAUAUGGAGGAACACCAGUGGCGAAGGCGGCUCUCUGGUCUGUAACUGACGCUGAGGCUCGAAAGCGUGGGGAGCAAACAGG
This 429-nucleotide ribosomal RNA is filed under the name Gemmatimonadota bacterium. RNAcentral describes it as "Gemmatimonadetes bacterium partial 16S ribosomal RNA". It matches the Rfam family "Bacterial small subunit ribosomal RNA", at positions 355 to 776 of the family's 1533-position model. Lineage: Bacteria; Pseudomonadati; Gemmatimonadota. The record is from RNAcentral.